GACAUCCAGAGAACUUAGCAGAGAUGCUUUGGUGCCUUCGGGGAACUCUGAGACAGGUGCUGCAUGGCUGUCGUCAGCUCGUGUUGUGAAAUGUUGGGUUAAGUCCCGNAACGAGCGCAACCCUUAUCCUUUGUUGCCAGCGGUUCGGCCGGGAACUCAAAGGAGACUGCCGGUGAUAAACCGGAGGAAGGUGGGGAUGACGUCAAGUCAUCAUGGCCCUUACGGCCAGGGCUACACACGUGCUACAAUGGCGCAUACAAAGAGAAGCGACCUCGCGAGAGCAAGCGGACCUCAUAAAGUGCGUCGUAGUCCGGAUUGGAGUCUGCAACUCGACUCCAUGAAGUCGGAAUCGCUAGUAAUCGUAGAUCAGAAUGCUACGGUGAAUACGUUCCCGGGCCUUGUACACACCGCCCGUCACACCAUGGGAGUGGGUUGCAAAAGAAGUAGGUAGCUUAACCUUCGGGAGGGCGCUUACCACUUUGUGAUUCAUGACUGGGGUGAAGUCGUAACAAGGUAGGCGUAGCGAG
This 527-nucleotide ribosomal RNA is filed under the name uncultured bacterium. Its description in RNAcentral is "bacterial SSU rRNA". It matches the Rfam family "Bacterial small subunit ribosomal RNA", at positions 983 to 1509 of the family's 1533-position model. The record is from RNAcentral.